This 253-nucleotide ribosomal RNA is filed under the name uncultured bacterium. RNAcentral describes it as "partial 16S ribosomal RNA". It matches the Rfam family "Bacterial small subunit ribosomal RNA", at positions 524 to 776 of the family's 1533-position model. The record is from RNAcentral.
GACAGAGGGUGCAAACGUUGUUCGGAACUACUGGGCGUAAAGCGCGUGUAGGCGGCCUUGCAAGUCGGAUGUGAAAGCCCUCGGCUCAACCGGGGAAGUGCACCCGAAACUGCAAGGCUCGAGUUCCGGAGAGGAUAGUGGAAUUCUCGGUGUAGAGGUGAAAUUCGUAGAUAUCGAGAGGAACACCGGUGGCGAAGGCGGCUAUCUGGACGGUGACUGACGCUGAGACGCGAAAGCGUGGGGAGCAAACAGG